UGCACAUCCAUUACAGGAAAACCGGAUGAACCUGUCCAGAGUGGCUUUUGUGGCUGGAUGCUUUCUGACUGCGGGGAGCCUUCUAGGCUCUGGAUUGUGCUAGAAUGUGCCUAUUGGAAAAGUGGGCAGGUUGGCCUCGGGAUGCUAAGAGAAAAGUACACCUCUGCACGGAGGGCCAGGGGAGAGCUACGGAGGAACGACUUCCAACUGAGAGAUGGUAAUAUGGGAGUUUUCAUCAGCCCUGCCCUGCACUUCUGCCACCCCACCCCCCCAAGCCUGUUUAGCCUGUGGGGCACUGCAUCAGAUGCAAGGUGCAGGACAAAAAGCAUCCUCUUGUUCAGCAGACCGAUGAGCCGUGAAUUGGAACAAUGGAGGAAGGGGGAUGUGGUUUCCCUCAGCCAGAGAUCUUGUUGCCACUCUCCCUGCCACCCUCGACACCCCCUCACAAGAUGUGCCAAUUUUAAUUCUAAUACUGAAGGUAGACACGGAGCAGGCAACUGGCAUCGGUU
RNAcentral lists this long non-coding RNA (509 nucleotides) under Sus scrofa (pig). RNAcentral describes it as "lncRNA (ENSSSCG00045006954.1)". Lineage: Eukaryota; Metazoa; Chordata; Mammalia; Artiodactyla; Suidae. The record is from RNAcentral.